This 362-nucleotide unclassified non-coding RNA is filed under the name uncultured Mortierella. RNAcentral's name for it is "sequence contains ITS2". The record is from RNAcentral. Lineage: Eukaryota; Fungi; Mortierellomycota; Mortierellomycetes; Mortierellales; Mortierellaceae.
AACGCAUAUUGCGCUCUCUGGCAUUCCGGAGAGCAUGCUUGUUUGAGUAUCAGUAAACACCUCAAGUCUUGGAUUAUUUUUUCAAGAGUUGGAUUUGAGUGAUCCUAACUACGAGUUGUCCCCUACAAAAGGACAAUGAGGAAGGCAGGUCACUUGAAAUUCAGGUGCAGCUGAACUUUUCUUCUGAGCUAAAAGCAUUAUUUUAUUUAGUCUUUAUUGACUAUUACUUUUUGCUGCAGCUAAUAUAAAGGGAGAAAGGCUUCUUAAUGCUGACUGAUGCAGGAAUUUAUCAGUUUUUUUUUAAAAAAAAAAGAAUUGUUAGACUCGAUCUCAAAUCAAGUAAGACUACCCGCUGAACUUAA